This 577-nucleotide long non-coding RNA is filed under the name Theropithecus gelada (gelada). RNAcentral describes it as "lncRNA (ENSTGEG00000028968.1)". Lineage: Eukaryota; Metazoa; Chordata; Mammalia; Primates; Cercopithecidae. The record is from RNAcentral.
CGCCACCCCCAGCGCGCUCCCGAGGCCGUUCCCCGAGGAUGCGCGGGCCCGAGGGGAGGGCGACGCGGCCCGAGCGGCGCUUUCCUGGCCGCCUGGAGUCCGGGAACGGCGAAUCCCGCUCGCAGCGGACCGAGGCGAGGCGCAGCGGGACGGGAUCGGUGGGAACGGAAACAGCGGUCACCCGGAAGCCCAGAACCAGCGAGUGCGCGGUGCAGUGUUCGCUUCCCAAACGUUGUGGGACAAACGCCUUUCAACUGUUUCUGGACGCCCGUGGGCCGGCGUUACCCUGUUGAGAGGGAAGAGAGAAGCCCCUCCCAUUCGCUUCUACUGGGGCUUGUUAAGCCAUCGCCUUGGGGGCCGGCUGAUCAGCGGCAGCCAGCAGCCGGCGGCUUCGGCAGGCAGGAGCAAGGACAGCCUGUGGCUACUGCAGCCCCACUGCCCGGCCACACUUCAUGACGGGAGAGUGCCUUGGGAGGAAUGUAAAGGCAAACCGGACUGUACGAGAGGAAAAAAAGGUGCUUCAUAUCCCAACCAAAAGUAUUCUCUGUCUGAGGACCAUUGCCCAAGUGUGAAGUAG